RNAcentral lists this ribosomal RNA (593 nucleotides) under Alteromonas macleodii. Its description in RNAcentral is "bacterial SSU rRNA". It matches the Rfam family "Bacterial small subunit ribosomal RNA", at positions 109 to 703 of the family's 1533-position model. The record is from RNAcentral. Lineage: Bacteria; Pseudomonadati; Pseudomonadota; Gammaproteobacteria; Alteromonadales; Alteromonadaceae.
AGUAAUGCUUGGGAACUUGCCUUUGCGAGGGGGAUAACAGUUGGAAACGACUGCUAAUACCGCAUAAUGUCUUCGGACCAAACGGGGCUUCGGCUCCGGCGCAAAGAGAGGCCCAAGUGAGAUUAGCUAGUUGGUAAGGUAACGGCUUACCAAGGCGACGAUCUCUAGCUGUUCUGAGAGGAAGAUCAGCCACACUGGGACUGAGACACGGCCCAGACUCCUACGGGAGGCAGCAGUGGGGAAUAUUGCACAAUGGGGGAAACCCUGAUGCAGCCAUGCCGCGUGUGUGAAGAAGGCCUUCGGGUUGUAAAGCACUUUCAGUUGUGAGGAAAAGUUAGUAGUUAAUACCUGCUAGCCGUGACGUUAACAACAGAAGAAGCACCGGCUAACUCCGUGCCAGCAGCCGCGGUAAUACGGAGGGUGCGAGCGUUAAUCGGAAUUACUGGGCGUAAAGCGCACGCACGCGGUUUGUUAAGCUAGAUGUGAAAGCCCCGGGCUCAACCUGGGAUGGUCAUUUAGAACUGGCAGACUAGAGUCUUGGAGAGGGGAGUGGAAUUCCAGGUGUAGCGGGUGAAAUGCGUAGAUAUCUGGGA